UCGAGUUGCAGGUAUGCAAAUAGGCCUU
Molecule: non-coding RNA, 28 nt
Filed under: Rattus norvegicus (Norway rat)
Lineage: Eukaryota; Metazoa; Chordata; Mammalia; Rodentia; Muridae
Source: RNAcentral